RNAcentral lists this microRNA precursor (95 nucleotides) under Otolemur garnettii (small-eared galago). RNAcentral's name for it is "miRNA (ENSOGAG00000028491.1)". The record is from RNAcentral. Lineage: Eukaryota; Metazoa; Chordata; Mammalia; Primates; Galagidae.
AUCCUUACUCGAAUCCUCGCUCCUCCGCCGGAGAGGACGCCCGGGCUCGGGCGGGGCGGGGCUGAGCGGAGCGGGGCGGGGCUGGGCGGGGCUGG